Molecule: long non-coding RNA, 1824 nt
Filed under: Triticum aestivum (bread wheat)
Lineage: Eukaryota; Viridiplantae; Streptophyta; Magnoliopsida; Poales; Poaceae
Description: long non-coding RNA (TAES_LNC026069)
Rfam family: Small nucleolar RNA Z119 (bases 694-788)
Source: RNAcentral
GCCUUCUUUCUGGCGCUGUUCCAUGUGUGCUUGGAGAUGAGGAUCAUCAGAGGCUGUUUCUGAGGAUGUGCCUAGAGCUUGUCCUGUGUUGCACAUUGACUGAUUUGCCUAUCUGAUCCAAAGCACUAGUCAAACACUUCCAUUUUCAUUUCUUUUAUUUUGCUGAGGAGGUGAUGAAUAUCAGAGGCUGUUUCUGAGGAUGAGCCUAGAGCUCUUCCUAUGUUGCAAAAUAACUGAUUUGCCUAUCUGAUCCAAAGCACUAGUGAAACACUUUCAUUUUCUUUUCUUUAUUUGGCUGAGGAGAUGAUGAACAUCAGAGGCUGUUUCUGAGGAUGAGCCUAGAGCUCUUCAUAUGCUGCAAAAUAACUGAUUUACCUAUCUGAUCCAAAGCACUAGUCAAACACUUUCUAUUUUCUAUUUUCUAUUUUGCCAAGGAGAUGAUGAAUUUCAGAGGCUGUUUCUGAGGUUGAGCCCAGAGCUCUACUAUGUUGCAAAAUAACUGAUUUGCCUAUCUGAUCCAACUUACUAUUCAAACACUUUCAUUUUCUUUUCUUUAUUUUGCUGAGGAGAUGAUGAAUAUCAGAGGCUGUUUCUGAGGAUGAGCUCAGAGCUCUACCUAUGUUGCAAAAGUACUGAUUUGCCUAUCUGAUCCAAAUUACCAUUCAAAUACUUUAUAUUUUCUCUUCUAUUUUGCCUAGGAGAUGAUGAAUAUCAGAGGCUGUUUCUGAGGAUGAGCCUAGAGCUCUCCAUGUGUUGCAAAAUUACUGAUUUGCCUAUCUGAUCCAAAGCACUACUAGGUAGAAUUUUUUUGGGCUACUGGUGAGAAGCUGUAUGUAGGCUAUGCUUGCUAUCUUGGCUGUUGUGUCAAUUUGUUUUACCUUCAUUGGGGAAAUGAUGAUUAAUUCUUCAGAUAUGUCCUAAAUGGGCUUUUAAAAGAAUGGUGACAAAUUGCACGUCAGUCUGAUCCCCUAUGGUUUUUUACUAAUUUGUUAGUAGUAUCCACUUUUAUAUGGGAAAUGAUGAUUAUUUCAUCUCAGAUGUCCUUUAUGGAUAAUUCAGAAUGAUGAGAAAUUGCACGUCAGUCUGAUCCCAAACUGUAGUUAAACUGUUACUAAUUUAUGUUGAUCUGUCACUAGUUGAUUUAUGUUGAUUGUCCACCAAAUAAUUGGUUUGCCCUUCUCAACUGUGAUGAACAUUCCUAUAAUAGUCAACUAGCAUCGUUGUGAUCAGUCAAACUAAUUUGGACCCUUGCACUGUUGUUUGUGGCAGGAGGAGCUAGGAACUGAAUAUCUGGUGCAGCCGCUUGGCCGUGCUGAAGACGAAGAGCAUUCCAGUGACUUUGAGCCAGAAGAAAAUGGUGAUGGUGCUGAGGACGAGGAGAUUGAGGAUGAUGAUGCUGAGGAUGGUGAGGAUUCUGUCAAGGCGCAAUCCUCUUCGAAGAGGAAGAGGUCUGGCGCGGAGGAUGAAGAUGAUGAUGACGGUGAUGAUGAUGGUGAUGAUGAUGAGAAGCCUCCAUCAAAGCGAUAGUCAAUUUGUUCUUGCUGAUCUGGUAUCUUUUCUGCUUGGGCCAAGAAGGAAAAUAAUCCUCACGGAGAGGGUUGUUGGUAAAUGCUGUAGCUUUAGGACAUCUGUGGUAGGUGUAGCAGCUCGAACUUGAGUCUACCCAUGUUAGUUGUUAGUGCAUACUGCUGAUGUUGAUUAACAGCCUCGGGGAACUUCUGUAUGAGCAUUAGAUAUGGGGCUUGUUAUAUGCUUGUGUAGCUUCUGAUUAAAACCUGUGGAAUGUGGAUGCUCUGUUCUGAAUCUUGUUUUCAUGAUAUUUCU